Molecule: ribosomal RNA, 468 nt
Filed under: uncultured bacterium
Lineage: Bacteria
Description: partial 16S ribosomal RNA
Rfam family: Bacterial small subunit ribosomal RNA
Source: RNAcentral
GACGAACGCUGGCGGCGUGCUUAACACAUGCAAGUCGAACGGAAAGGCCCUGCUUUUGUGGGGUGCUCGAGUGGCGAACGGGUGAGUAACACGUGAGUAACCUGCCCUUGACUUUGGGAUAACUUCAGGAAACUGGGGCUAAUACCGGAUAGGAGCUCCUGCUGCAUGGUGGGGGUUGGAAAGUUUCGGCGGUUGGGGAUAGACUCGCGGCUUAUCAGCUUGUUGGUGGGGUAGUGGCUUACCAAGGCUUUGACGGGUAGCCGGCCUGAGAGGGUGACCGGCAACAUUGGGACUGAGAUACGGCCCAGACUCCUACGGGAGGCAGCAGUGGGGAAUAUUGCACAAUGGGCGGAAGCCUGAUGCAGCAACGCCGCGGGCGGGAUGACGGCCUUCGGGUUGUAAACCGCUUUCGCCUGUGACGAAGCGUGAGUGACGGUAAUGGGUAAAGAAGCACCGGCUAACUACGUG